This 504-nucleotide ribosomal RNA is filed under the name uncultured bacterium. RNAcentral's name for it is "bacterial SSU rRNA". It matches the Rfam family "Bacterial small subunit ribosomal RNA", at positions 15 to 507 of the family's 1533-position model. The record is from RNAcentral.
GAUCCUGGCUCAGGAUGAACGCUAGCUACAGGCUUAACACAUGCAAGUCGAGGGGAAACGACAUUGGAAGCUUGCUUCCGAUGGGCGUCGACCGGCGCACGGGUGAGUAACGCGUAUCCAACCUGCCCACCACUUGGGGAUAACCUUGCGAAAGUAAGACUAAUACCCAAUGAUAUCCCACGAAGGCAUCGGAAUGGGAUUAAAGAUUUAUCGGUGAUGGAUGGGGAUGCGUCUGAUUAGCUUGUUGCGGGGUAACGGCCCACCAAGGCAACGAUCAGUAGGGGUUCUGAGAGGAAGGUCCCCCACAUUGGAACUGAGACACGGUCCAAACUCCUACGGGAGGCAGCAGUGAGGAAUAUUGGUCAAUGGGCGAGAGCCUGAACCAGCCAAGUAGCGUGCAGGAUGACGGCCCUAUGGGUUGUAAACUGCUUUUAUAAGGGAAUAAAGUGAGCCUCGUGAGGCUUUUUGCAUGUACCUUAUGAAUAAGGACCGGCUAAUUCCGUG